UACGGGAGGGCAGCAGUGGGGAAUAUUGCACAAUGGGCGCAAGCCUGAUGCAGCCAUGCCGCGUGUAUGAAGAAGGCCUUCGGGUUGUAAAGUACUUUCAGUCGUGAGGAAGGUGUUAAGGUUAAUAACCUUAGCAAUUGACGUUAGCGACAGAAGAAGCACCGGCUAACUCCGUGCCAGCAGCCGCGGUAAUACGGAGGGUGCGAGCGUUAAUCGGAAUUACUGGGCGUAAAGGGCACGCAGGCGGUUAAUUAAGUUGGAUGUGAAUCCCCGGGCUUAACCUGGGAAUGGCAUUCAAGACUGGUUAGCUAGAGUCUUGUAGAGGGGGUAGAAUUCCAUGUGUAGCGGUGAAAUGCGUAGAGAUGUGGAGGAAUACCGGUGGCGAAGGCGGCCCCUGGACAAAGACUGACGCUCAUGUGCGAAAGCGUGGGGAGCAAACAGGAUUAGAUACC
This 452-nucleotide ribosomal RNA is filed under the name uncultured bacterium. RNAcentral's name for it is "bacterial SSU rRNA". It matches the Rfam family "Bacterial small subunit ribosomal RNA", at positions 340 to 786 of the family's 1533-position model. The record is from RNAcentral.